CAGCCGCCACGGUAAUACGUAGGGUGCGAGCGUUAAUCGGAAUUACUGGGCGUAAAGCGUGCGCAGGCGGUUGUGUAAGACAGGUGUGAAAUCCCCGGGCUUAACCUGGGAACUGCGCUUGUGACUGCACAGCUAGAGUAUGGCAGAGGGGGGUGGAACUCCACGUGUAGCAGUGAAAUGCGUAGAGAUGUGGAGGAACACCGAUGGCGAAGGCAGCCCCCUGGGCCAAUACUGACGCUCAUGCACGAAAGCGUGGGGAGCAAACAGGAUUAGAUACCCCUGUAGUCCCUGUCUCUUAUAC
This 301-nucleotide ribosomal RNA is filed under the name uncultured bacterium. RNAcentral describes it as "partial 16S ribosomal RNA". It matches the Rfam family "Bacterial small subunit ribosomal RNA", at positions 509 to 807 of the family's 1533-position model. The record is from RNAcentral.